AACGAACGCUGGCGGCAUGCCUAACACAUGCAAGUCGAACGAGACCUUCGGGUCUAGUGGCGCACGGGUGCGUAACGCCUGGGAACCUGCCCUUAGGUUCGGAAUAACUCCCCGAAAGGGGUGCUAAUACCGGAUAAUGUCUUCGGACCAAAGAUUUAUCGCCUUUGGAUGGGCCCGCGUUGGAUUAGCUAGUUGGUAGGGUAAAAGCCUACCAAGGCGACGAUCCAUAGCUGGUCUGAGAGGAUGAUCAGCCACACUGGGACUGAGACACGGCCCAGACUCCUACGGGAGGCAGCAGUGGGGAAUAUUGGACAAUGGGCGAAAGCCUGAUCCAGCAAUGCCGCGUGAGUGAUGAAGGCCUUAGGGUUGUAAAGCUCUUUUACCCGGGAUGAUAAUGACAGUACCGGGAGAAUAAACUCCGGCUAACUCCGU
This 432-nucleotide ribosomal RNA is filed under the name uncultured bacterium. Its description in RNAcentral is "partial 16S ribosomal RNA". It matches the Rfam family "Bacterial small subunit ribosomal RNA", at positions 29 to 506 of the family's 1533-position model. The record is from RNAcentral.